RNAcentral lists this ribosomal RNA (774 nucleotides) under uncultured Neocallimastigales. Its description in RNAcentral is "partial large subunit ribosomal RNA". It matches the Rfam family "Eukaryotic large subunit ribosomal RNA", at positions 22 to 644 of the family's 3401-position model. The record is from RNAcentral. Lineage: Eukaryota; Fungi; Neocallimastigomycota; Neocallimastigomycetes; Neocallimastigales.
CAUAGCGACUAUCGUGGCAUAUCAAUAAGCGGAGGAAAAGAAACUAACAAGGAUUCCCUUAGUAACGGCGAGUGAAGCGGGAAGAGCUCAAAUUUGAAAUCUUCAAGGUUCUACCUUGACGAAUUGUAGUUCAUAGAAGUGUUUUCUGUUAGUAGAGUGGCAAAAGUUCUUUGGAAUAGGACAUCAUAGAGGGUGAGAAUCCCGUAUUUGGUCAUUCUUUCUAGCUUUGUGAUACACUUUCAACGAGUCGGAUUGUUUGGGAAUGCAGUCCAAAAUGGGUGGUAAAUUUCAUCUAAAGCUAAAUACUGGCGAGAGACCGAUAGCGAACAAGUACCGUGAGGGAAAGAUGAAAAGAACUUUGAAAAGAGAGUUAAACAGUACGUGAAAUUGUCAAAAGGGAAGCGUUUGACACCAGUGUUGUUUUCUCGAACAUCAAUUAAAAAUGGCCGGAUUUUGUGUUGUAUUGACUUUAUCAGCUUUCUGCACUUUUUUCUUGUCUUUUUUAAUGCACUUUUCGUUUAACAAGUCAACAUCAAUUUCUUUUGCUGUAAAAGAGUCAUUGGAAGGUGGCUUUCUUUUCGGAGAAAGUGUUUAUAGCCUUUGACUUCUGCAGUCGGAGAGAUUGAGGUCUGCAGCGUAGAUCCUUCGGGGUUAGAUACAUUUGUGCUAAGCUAUAGCCUUUCAUAGACAACUUGUUGACUAUGAUCAGUCAUGUAGCUUACUCGCUUAUGCUAUUUUACCUACGCUUAGGAUGUUGAAGAUAUGCGCGACACG